Non-coding RNA from Cinara cedri, 283 nucleotides. NCBI's taxonomy places the organism in Eukaryota, Metazoa, Arthropoda, Insecta, Hemiptera, Aphididae. The record is from the annotation of a GenBank genome assembly.
ACAUAUCUGAAAUAAAUCGGGGAAAAAGAGCUACUCAUUAAGUGCUGCUUAAUUAAUAAAUUAAUUAAUAUAAUCAUGCCUAAGUUUGAAAUGACUGCUUAAGUUUACAUAUACUGUCUUAAUACAAAUAGCUAUACAACAAAGACUCCAAAUUGGAGUAAAAUGUCUAAAUUUUAAGGAUUCAUACUUGUGGAAAGGUGGCUGAGCGGCCUAAAGCACAUGCUUGGAAGGCGUGCACAUAUGGAAAUAUGUCGAGGGUUCGAAUCCCUCCCUUUCCGCCAUA